UAGGGAAUCUUCGGCAAUGGGGGGAACCCUGACCGAGCAACGCCGCGUGAGUGAAGAAGGUUUUCGGAUCGUAAAGCUCUGUUGUUAAGGAAGAACGAGUGUGAGAAUGGAAAGUUCAUACUGUGACGGUACUUAACCAGAAAGGGACGGCUAACUAUGUGCCAGCAGCCGCGGUAAAACAUAGGGGGCAAGCGUUGUCCGGAAUCACUGGGCGUAAAGGGCGCGCAGGCGGUCUGUUAAGUCAGAUGUGAAAGGUUAGGGCUCAACCCUGAACGUGCAUCUGAUACUGGCAGACUUGAGUAUGGAAGAGGUAAGUGGAAUUCCUAGUGUAGCGGUGAAAUGCGUAGAUAUUAGGAGGAACACCAGUGGCGAAGGCGACUUACUGGGCCAUAACUGACGCUGAGGCGCGAAAGCGUGGGGAGCAAACAGG
RNAcentral lists this ribosomal RNA (430 nucleotides) under Bacteroidota bacterium. RNAcentral's name for it is "Bacteroidetes bacterium partial 16S ribosomal RNA". It matches the Rfam family "Bacterial small subunit ribosomal RNA", at positions 355 to 776 of the family's 1533-position model. Lineage: Bacteria; Pseudomonadati; Bacteroidota. The record is from RNAcentral.